GUUAGUCACGAGUCGUUGAUUCGUACACUUGUGCCUGUGCCUUAACUUGACACUUUGCAUUAUCAACGAUCUCGAUAAUUUCUCACCUGACUUUCGUACCGCGUUGGAAAAAUUGAACGAGUACGAUAUCCUGCGCUUAUUUCGGACCCUCUCUCGACCAACAAGAUAUUGGCACGGCGGCUGGUUUUUAGCACGACAUGGCACAACGCGUUCGAUGGUGUGAUGAUGCUAGGUCAUAACGCGCAACGAGGAAAUGGCAUAAAUUGGAUGAGGGUGAAGCACCGAGCGCUUCUCUCGCCUCUCUCUCUCCCUCUCUCUCUCGGUGGCUGUGCAAAAAUUGCGAUGUCGAAACGAUUGUUACUGACAUGCGCGGGUCCUGAACGAGCAUCGAUAGAAUUACAAGGAGCAUUAUAUACGGUGUAGAAAAAUGUAUACGAUCGAUUUUGUUUUCUUGGACGUUUUAAAAUUUUUUUUUUUUUUUUAUCAAACGUAAAAUUUCAUAGCUAGAAAUUUGUAAUGAAAUAAUAGUAAUAGUAAUAAUGAUAAAAAAAAAAAUUAUAAUAAUAAUUCAUUUCGUUGCGAUUACAUUCAAUUACGCAUACGCAUACGCACACGCACAUGUGUACACACAUUUUUCUAGCCAAAGUGCCGAUUUUCACGCACAUAAUACAUGAACAUCGCGACUAUUACGACGAUCAGCUUAAUCGUAGCUGCAUUAACUUUUUGGUACGUAAAAUUUCAAAUCGACACUACGAUAACGCCUCCUAUUUUGUACAAGAUUAUUUCAGGGUCGAAACGAUGAGUCGUUAUUGUAUCGGGUAUCUCAUUUUUAAGGCAUUGUUAUGGCCGUGUACCUAUAAUAUACAUAUAUAGGCAUAUACGCAUACAUAUUACACAAUAAAUUAGUCGCGUUUCUGUCUGUAUUUUUUUUUUUCUUUUUUUUUUUUUUGUUUUAUCCAAGUUUCUACCGUUUACGGUACAAUUUUUCUUCUCGAUCGCAAAGAAUUUCCGAAAUACGAACAACGUACACGGGCGAGGUUGAGUCGUAAAGCCACGUUGAUUUUUUUUUUUUUUAUUGAAAAAAAUGCGUCCCUGUCUUGUCAUUUAUUACCGUGGCAACUCAAUCACUGGCGUCAACUCGUCUAGUCAGAUCGAUCCGCAACUGUGCGUCCAGGUUCGUUACAGGUUCAUUUUUGCAGAAUGAUAAAAAUAAAAAAAAGCGGGUUUGCGUCCGACGAAUUUAUUUAUGUAACGUCGAUGCAUAAUUUAAUUAAGACACCAAUUUUAUUUAAAUGUCUAUUAUAACGAUAAACUUUAUUAUAUACUUGUAAAUAUAACACUAAAUUUUAAGUAAAUAUAAUACUCUUAUAUAUGCGUCUGCGGAUUUGGGGUAGAAUUCCGAUUUUUCUUUUCUUUCAUCAUCUUGUUUUUUUUUUAUAUCUUUAGCCUCGAUCGUUCUGGCCUGUUUCGAAAUAUCAAAUUCCUCGGAAUUCAGACCAGCAGAUCCACAGACUCUAAGUCGGACGUAUUCUUUCAAUAGUCCGCUUAGAAAAUAACACAACCAUAAUAUAUCUAACAAUUAACGCCGGACGGCUGAUUAUAUAG
Molecule: unclassified non-coding RNA, 1605 nt
Filed under: Neodiprion lecontei (redheaded pine sawfly)
Lineage: Eukaryota; Metazoa; Arthropoda; Insecta; Hymenoptera; Diprionidae
Description: platelet-derived growth factor receptor alpha, transcript variant X1
Source: RNAcentral